UUUUGAAUGAUGACUUAAAUUGUCGGAUACCCCUUCACUCCUAUUAUGAGUGAAACAUAAUAAGUCUGACAAAU
Artibeus jamaicensis (Jamaican fruit-eating bat) is the source of this 74-nucleotide small nucleolar RNA. RefSeq annotates it as small nucleolar RNA SNORD101. The transcript has a single exon. NCBI's taxonomy places the organism in Eukaryota, Metazoa, Chordata, Mammalia, Chiroptera, Phyllostomidae. The record is from RefSeq and is a predicted model, not a curated record.